Molecule: non-coding RNA, 21 nt
Filed under: Caenorhabditis elegans
Lineage: Eukaryota; Metazoa; Nematoda; Chromadorea; Rhabditida; Rhabditidae
Source: RNAcentral
UAAAAAUUCCCAGAGUUUUUG